AAUCUAUACGGUGAAACUGCGAAUGGCUCAUUAAAUCAGUUAUCGUUUAUUUGAUAGUACCUUACUACAUGGAUAACCGUGGUAAUUCUAGAGCUAAUACAUGCUAAAAACCCCGACUUCGGGAGGGGUGUAUUUAUUAGAUAAAAAACCAACGCCCUUCGGGGCUCCUUGGUGAUUCAUGAUAACUCAACGAAUCGCAUGGCCUUGCGCCGGCGAUGGUUCAUUCAAAUUUCUGCCCUAUCAACUUUCGAUGGUAGGAUAGUGGCCUACCAUGGUAUCAACGGGUAACGGGGAAUUAGGGUUCUAUUCCGGAGAGGGAGCCUGAGAAACGGCUACCACAUCCAAGGAAGGCAGCAGGCGCGCAAAUUACCCAAUCCCGACACGGGGAGGUAGUGACAAUAAAUACUGAUACAGGGCUCUUUUGGGUCUUGUAAUUGGAAUGAGUACAAUUUAAAUCCCUUAACGAGGAACAAUUGGAGGGCAAGUCUGGUGCCAGCAGCCGCGGUAAUUCCAGCUCCAAUAGCGUAUAUUAAAGUUGUUGCAGUUAAAAAGCUCGUAGUUGAACCUUGGGCCUGGCUGGCCGGUCCGCCUCACCGCGUGUACUGGUCCGGCCGGGCCUUUCCUUCUGGGGAUCCGCAUGCCCUUCACUGGGCGUGCCGGGGAACCAGGACUUUUACUUUGAAAAAAUUAGAGUGUUCAAAGCAGGCCUUUGCUCGAAUACAUUAGCAUGGAAUAAUAGAAUAGGACGUGUGGUUCUAUUUUGUUGGUUUCUAGGACCGCC
RNAcentral lists this ribosomal RNA (781 nucleotides) under Lichenothelia arida. RNAcentral's name for it is "SSU rRNA". It matches the Rfam family "Eukaryotic small subunit ribosomal RNA", at positions 71 to 861 of the family's 1831-position model. Lineage: Eukaryota; Fungi; Ascomycota; Dothideomycetes; Lichenotheliales; Lichenotheliaceae. The record is from RNAcentral.